Molecule: ribosomal RNA, 661 nt
Filed under: unidentified microorganism
Description: bacterial SSU rRNA
Rfam family: Bacterial small subunit ribosomal RNA
Source: RNAcentral
ACAUGCAAGUCGAGGGGUAGAAGAGGCUUGCUUCUUUGAGACCGGCGCACGGGUGCGUAACGCGUAUGCAACCUACCUUCAUCUGGGGGAUAGCCCGGAGAAAUCCGGAUUAAUACCGCAUAAAAUCACAGGAUGGCAUUAUCCAAUGAUCAAACAUUUAUGGGAUGGAGAUGGGCAUGCGUGUCAUUAGCUAGUUGGCGGGGUAACGGCCCACCAAGGCGACGAUGACUAGGGGAUCUGAGAGGAUGGCCCCCCACACUGGUACUGAGACACGGACCAGACUCCUACGGGAGGCAGCAGUAAGGAAUAUUGGUCAAUGGAGGCAACUCUGAACCAGCCAUGCCGCGUGCAGGAAGACUGCCCUAUGGGUUGUAAACUGCUUUUAUUCGGGAAUAAACCUAUUUACGUGUAAAUAGCUGAAUGUACCGAAGGAAUAAGGAUCGGCUAACUCCGUGCCAGCAGCCGCGGUAAUACGGAGGAUCCAAGCGUUAUCCGGAUUUAUUGGGUUUAAAGGGUGCGUAGGCGGCCUGUUAAGUCAGGGGUGAAAGACGGUAGCUCAACUAUCGCAGUGCCCUUGAUACUGAUGGGCUUGAAUGGACUAGAGGUAGGCGGAAUGAGACAAGUAGCGGUGAAAUGCAUAGAUAUGUCUCAGAACACCGAU